Lathyrus oleraceus (garden pea) is the source of this 1708-nucleotide long non-coding RNA. RefSeq lists it as uncharacterized. The record is from RefSeq and is a predicted model, not a curated record. NCBI's taxonomy places the organism in Eukaryota, Viridiplantae, Streptophyta, Magnoliopsida, Fabales, Fabaceae. The transcript has 2 exons.
AAUAUCAAUUAAUUCUAAUAACAUUUCCAAUUAAUUCUAAACUAUCUAAUUAUUCUAACAUUUCUAAUUAUCAUAAUUCUAAACUAAUCAUAAAGAUAUUCAGAACCAAUUAUGAACUAAAUUCUAGAGUUACUCCUAAAAUAUCUAAACUAUCUUCUAAUCCCUAAACCACACCUUAAUUAACUAUAUCCUAAUUAACUAGACCACACCUAUCAACUACACUGUAAUCUAAUUGAUAUCACUUAUACACUACCGCACAAAUCCAGCAACAGGCUGAAGGAAACAAACAACCGAAACAAAAAAAGAGAAAAGUGCUUAAUGGAUAAGUAGCAACACGUUUUCAACCACCACGACUCCGUUUCACCACGAACCUAGGUUCCAUCCCCGUUCGGCCGCGCCGGAGUUCUUCACCGACGGCAGCGGAACUCCUACAAACACGACCUCCACACGGCCAAACUCACUGCGAUUCCCUUAAUCCAAAUCCACUGUUGAUCCAACCUAAUCUCUAUUCGAAAAUGCAAACCGAAGCAAAAGUUCUCACGAACCCUAGAUUGAAUAUCCCCAAAUCCGGUCCUCAUACGGAGGUAAUCGAGCUUGCAAGUUUGGGAGAAUCAUUCACUGGAUCCAUAUUUGCACAAUGAUAAUCAACGCGAGUAAAAUCGGUGGAGUUUCACAUACCUUCGUCGUCGACGGUGACGCACGCGGCGGACGGCGUUUGGAUACUGAUGCGGUACAAAACAAUCGCUUGUCUACUCUCCUAUUCUUCGUCUACUCCAAUCUUCCUCGCCGUUCCCUGGUACUUUGAAUCGUGGCGCUUACGUAUCUUGACUUGUAAUCGUGGAAGGCGCGGUUCGAUUGUUGGAUUCGAGAAGAUUCACUGAAGCAAGGGACACCAUGGAUUGAGGACGGAAUCAAGGUCCAGCAAGAACAGCCGAUGAAUUCGCCGGCAAAGAUGACCGAUGUAACGACGAGGUUAGCGGAAGUUCGUCUCAGAGACUAAGGCGGAGUGGAUUCUAGCUCAACCGAUCAAAGCUUCAACGUGGAGCUUUGAUGGCUUUGUCUCAGAGCUUUGGUAAGGGUGGAAUGGUGGUGAAGAUGCGGAAUAGAAGAUGGAAACUGGAAGAAACAGGUUGAGAGUGAUGAUUGAAGAGGAGUUCUUGGAGGGGGUUGUGGGGUUUUCUGUUAGAGGUUGGUUAGAGGUUUGCUUAGGUUGGAAGAAUGUAGAGAAGGUUGUGUAGGGGAUGUAUGGAGGUUCGCGUGCAUGGAAGGUUGCAGGUUUGGUUAGGGUGAAGAAACUUUGGUUGAAUGGUGAUGGCGGUGGUAGAAGAAACUGGUGAAUUGUUGAAUUAUGGGAAAGAUGAUGGAAGAAACUUGGAUUGAAGAUGGAGGAUGGUUCUUAUAGGAGAGUAAGGUUAGAGAGAUGGUUGGUUAUGGAGUUUUGGAGAUUUUGAUGAAGGUGAUGGUGAAUUAAAAAACGGUUACGGUGGUUGAAGGAUUGGAAGAGUUUGUGAUGGUGGAGGAAUGGAAGAAGAUGGAGGACGAAGAAACGAGAGGUUAGAGGAUGAAAAAGCUUCCUCCAAUUUCUGUUAUUUUUCUGUUAUGGAUCCUCUCUCCUUUCUGUUAUGACUUUGCACUAUUUAUACUCAUACAAGAAUGAAGAUUUCUGUUAUUUCAUUAUGCAGGAAAUUAAUUUUGAUUUUAUGCAGAA